GGAAGAGGGGUGGCUCAGGGAGUGUCGGAGAAGUCUUUCCUGGGAUUUUCCGGCCGAAGGCUUUCGUACAAUUGGACUACCGCCAUGUUUGCCUGGCAGAGAACUGCCUUCCAUUUCCAGCCUGAGAAGAAUUGGAUGAAUGGUAGGUCGCCUUCUUUUUUCUCUCUCUCUUUUUCCAACUACACUUCCCACAUUUUUCAAAUGGUACGAAUAUUUAGCAUUUUAAUUUUUUUUUACAUCAUUUUAGAAAUGCACUUUGUCAAAUGCUUCCUUUGAUCUUUAUGAGUGUCUCAGUGGCUUUUCAUGCAAUUUUUUUUAUAUAUAAUUAGAGAUAUUAUUAACUUAUUAUAAUGAUUAAUAAAUUAAUAAUUUUUAUUAAAUUUCAAGUAUUGAUAUUAUUUUUUAAAAUAUUUUUAAUUUUAUAAAAAAUUAUACCCUAUAUUUUAACAUAUCAUGUUUUUUUUUUUUUACAAAAUUAAGAAUAAGUAUACAUUAAAUCAAUUAAUUUUAAAAAAAUUAAAAAUUUUAUUUUUUAUUUUUAAUUACUUAUUUAAAUACAGUAAUGUAGAAAAAAAAUCAUAUGACAUGUAUGUAAAAAAGAGCAAAAAAAAAAAAAAAAAAGCAUUUGGGAAGAGUUUUUUUUUUUUUUUUUUUUAAUUUGAAGAGAAGGGUUGAACAUGAUUUUAUUUAUUUAUUUAUUUUGAGGGGAUGUAUCUGGAUAGAAGAAGCCAACUGUAAAUGGAACUUCCCUUGUAUUUGGCUUGAAUUUUCUUUUAUAGUUUUAUUUUAUAAUUUAUGAGUUCUUGUACUUACAAUCGUAUUGUCAUUUGUCAUUUCUGAUUGGCGUUUGGUGCGUGGGAAUAUGGAAUUCUUGCCCUGCUUCAGAUCCUGACGGUGAGUUCUUUCAAAUCCCUCUUAAUUUUCUCUUGCUUUCAUCAUGCACCUCCCAAAAAAUGCAUUAUUUAUUGUAGUUUGGCAAACACGUCUUUAACUAGCGGGGUUCCCUGUAUUUUAGUUUUUAGUUUUUCUAAUUUUAAAAAUAUAUAAAUGAUACAAAUUGUUACGUUUGGUUAAGGACCUAACUGAUCAGGUGUUCAUUAUUAUUUUUUAUUCAACUAGCCCGACCUGGUCCAAAUUCCAGACCGUCAGAUCAGGGGACUUUGUUGUCAGAAAAAGGAAUUUUAUGCAAUGUCAACAGAGACGGCAAGAGAUCUGACGGUCGAGAAUGAUUGUAGGGAAUGGCCAAUGGGGGGUGGUGGAGUAGUACGGCGUUCCUGGAGGGGCACCAAUAAUGAAUACAGAAUGCGACAAAAGGAUAGGGACAUACCUUUUGGAAUCGAGGACCAAUAAGGAGAGAGAUGGGUUGGCAUUCUGUGGUUGGUUGGAUCCUCAAUGUGGGCCCCUCCACAUGUCACAUCUACGCCUGGAAGUUUGUGGUGGACAUUUGGUAGGUCUGGACUUUAGGGCCAUCAUUUUAGAAAUUAGAAGUAAUUUCAUUUCAAUUUCCUUAUUUGUUCUUCACUCUUAGUCUUAGACGCAAUUUCACCAUUUUAUUUAUUUAUAUAUUUAUUUUAUUUGUAUUUAAAAUUACCUUUCUGGGGCACAGAAGACAUACUAUUUUUAUUAUUAUAAUUUUUUAAUUUUAGGCAUUGUACAAAUACAUUAAAUGCACCUUCCUCAUUUAUUUGCUUUCACGGGUGACAACACGAGGCUGUCUUCCACGUGAUUUCUUCAAUGAGCCACUCCAUAUUUUCAACCGUUAUGACAUUUUAUAAUAGGCAAUAAACUCCAAUUUGAUGGGAAAAUAUCGGGUGUUUGCAGGACCACUGUUCCACAUGGGAUGGUACCACCUCUUCUACCAGUACAAUCCUGAUUCAGCAGUGUGGGGGAACAUCACGUGGGG
Molecule: long non-coding RNA, 1903 nt
Filed under: Vitis vinifera (wine grape)
Lineage: Eukaryota; Viridiplantae; Streptophyta; Magnoliopsida; Vitales; Vitaceae
Description: long non-coding RNA (VVIN_LNC005429)
Source: RNAcentral